This 460-nucleotide ribosomal RNA is filed under the name uncultured bacterium. Its description in RNAcentral is "partial 16S ribosomal RNA". It matches the Rfam family "Bacterial small subunit ribosomal RNA", at positions 338 to 795 of the family's 1533-position model. The record is from RNAcentral.
CCUACGGGUGGCAGCAGUGAGGAAUAUUGGUCAAUGGACGCAAGUCUGAACCAGCCAAGCCGCGUGCAGGAAGACGGCUCUAUGAGUUGUAAACCGCUUUUGUACGAGGAUAAACGCAUAUACGCGUAUCUGUCUGAAAGUAUCGUACGAAUAAGGAUCGGCUAAUUCCGUGCCAGCAGCCGCGGUAAUACGGAGAAUUCAAGCGUUAUCCGGAAUUAGUGGGUUUAAAGGGUGGGUAGGCGGUCGGGUAAGUUAGCGGUGAAAUCCCGAGGCUCAACAUCGGAACAGCAUGUGAAACUGUUCGACUAGAGAGUAGUAGAGGUAGGCGGAAUGCAUGGUGUAGCGGUGAAAUGCAUAGAGAUCAUGCAGAACCCCGAUUGCGAAGGCAGCUUACCAAGCUACUACUGACGUUGAGGCACGAAGGCGUGGGGAGCAAACAGGAUUAGAUACCCCUGUAGUC